This 726-nucleotide ribosomal RNA is filed under the name uncultured bacterium. RNAcentral's name for it is "bacterial SSU rRNA". It matches the Rfam family "Bacterial small subunit ribosomal RNA", at positions 789 to 1515 of the family's 1533-position model. The record is from RNAcentral.
GGUAGUCCACGCCGUAAACGAUGUCGACUUGGAGGUUGUGCCCUUGAGGCGUGGCUUCCGGAGCUAACGCGUUAAGUCGACCGCCUGGGGAGUACGGCCGCAAGGUUAAAACUCAAAUGAAUUGACGGGGGCCCGCACAAGCGGUGGAGCAUGUGGUUUAAUUCGAUGCAACGCGAAGAACCUUACCUACUCUUGACAUCCAGAGAACUUAGCAGAGAUGCUUUGGUGCCUUCGGGAACUCUGAGGCAGGUGCUGCAUGGCUGUCGUCAGCUCGUGUUGUGAAAUGUUGGGUUAAGUCCCGCAACGAGCGCAACCCUUAUCCUUUGUUGCCAGCGGUUAGGCCGGGAACUCAAAGGAGACUGCCAGUGAUAAACUGGAGGAAGGUGGGGAUGACGUCAAGUCAUCAUGGCCCUUACGAGUAGGGCUACACACGUGCUACAAUGGCGCAUACAAAGAGAAGCGACCUCGCGAGAGCAAGCGGACCUCAUAAAGUGCGUCGUAGUCCGGAUUGGAGUCUGCAACUCGACUCCAUGAAGUCGGAAUCGCUAGUAAUCGUAGAUCAGAAUGCUACGGUGAAUACGUUCCCGGGCCUUGUACACACCGCCCGUCACACCAUGGGAGUGGGUUGCAAAAGAAGUAGGUAGCUUAACCUUCGGGAGGGCGCUUACCACUUUGUGAUUCAUGACUGGGGUGAAGUCGUAACAAGGUAACCGUAGGGGAACCUGC